Molecule: unclassified non-coding RNA, 395 nt
Filed under: soil metagenome
Description: partial contains 5.8S ribosomal RNA, internal transcribed spacer 2, and large subunit ribosomal RNA
Rfam family: 5.8S ribosomal RNA (bases 1-122)
Source: RNAcentral
GAUGAAGAACGUAGCGAAAUGCGAUACUUGGUGUGAAUUGCAGAAUCCCGUGAACCAUCGAGUCUUUGAACGCAAGUUGCGCCCGAAGCCAUCAGGUUGAGGGCACGUCUGCCUGGGCGUCACAUAUCGUUGCCCAAUGCCUAUUGCAGUGCAAUAGGAAUUUCUAGGGCGAAUGAUGGCUUCCCGUGAGCGUUGUUGCCUCGCGGUUGGUUGAAAAUCGAGUCCUUGGUAGGGUGUGCCAUGGUAGAUGGUGGUCGUGUUAGAACGAUACCGAUCAUGUGCAUGCUCCCCAAAAUAUGGCCUCUAUGACCCACACGCGUCUUUUGACGCUCAUGACGAGACCUCAGGUCAGGCGGGGCUACCCGCUGAAUUUAAGCAUAUCAAUAAGCGGAGGA